UAGUGGCUGACAUGUGAGGUGGGGAGUGUUGGUAGAGGCUGCUCUUGGCUGCAGGAAGUUUCAACAGGCCUCACAGGUUUGGAAGUGAGAAGGGAAGUCAUCUGAAAACAGGACCCUGUCCAGCAGCUUAUCAAGGAUGCAUAUGUGGUGGAAAGUUUUACCUCGCCUUGAAGUUUGCAGCUUUAUUAGAAAGUCCUACACUGGGACAACCUGCAAAAUGUAGCCUUUCCUCAGAACUGCUUUGUCACGUGCUAAGCUUCCUGAAGUUGCUUGACAGCCUACUGGGAAAGAUGCAGCAGUAUUCGCUGGAAAAACACAGAAAAAUGAUGGGAAUACUUCUCAAUCAUUUUAAUGAAACUCCUACAUGUGCUAUUCAUAAAAUGGCAUAACUUUAGGAAUUUAUAGAGGUCUUUAUCAAACACUUUCCUCUUUGGCCAGCAAUAGUUGUGUCAUUCCAGGAUAAUCUAUUUUAAUUAUGGGAAGUUUAAGGGCAAAGAUAGGUUAGUAGCUUGUUUUAUUUUACAGAGUGUGUGUAUUGCUAUGUCAUAAAAUACUCCCUUGUAGUCCAUUACUCUGUUGAGUAUGCAUAACAUACUCAUAUGACAGCAUGAAAUAGAUUUUUUUCUUGGUCUGCUUUCACCUCCUUUGCCCUGAAGCUCCCCCUGAAUCAGCACCAGACCCUACUAACUAAAGUUAUCCUCCUCCACUUAGCAUUGCUCUAUUUGCUUUCACAGGGUUGAUUUUUGAGAAAGUACAAGUGAAGGUUGCCUCUCUUACCCCGAGUUGUUUUUUUUUUUGUUUUUUUUUUUCUCUGUUCACUGUGGCCAGAUGGUGGGAUAGCACCUUGUGGUGGGUGACAGUGAAAGAAUAAGCUUCAGAUGAAGAUUAAAUGUGCAACUCUUGCUGAGGAUUUAGCUCUUUACUGGAUUUUAUGUAGACACUGAAGUCCUUUACUCAUAUUUUAUUCAGUUAAUGUUCCCUGGAUGAGAAAGGACUGUGUCCAACAUUUAGGAGCUGUCUCUAUAAUAAGGAAAGAAGUAUUCUGAUGUGUGUGAUGCCAGUGAAACAUUGCAGGCAGUGGGUGUAGAGAGGCAGCUAGUCAAAUAAUUGUGGAGAGAGGUCUCCUUUUUGCCUGGCCACUCUGCUGCCACUCAGCCUAACUUUUGCAGGCACACCUUUGACUCUCCAUUGGAAGCUUUCAUUCAGCCCUCCAUUCAAACCCAUCUCUGCCUCAUUCAAUCAAAUAAACACUCCUUGUGAAUAAAAGACAUACAAAAGAAUACAUGUGCAAGUAGUUCUAUACUGAGCUGGUAGUCUCAGUCUUGCUUUAGCUACCUGGUGGAGGGACUAAUAAGAAAUCAAAUAAAACUCUUGGCAAAUCUUC
Coturnix japonica (Japanese quail) is the source of this 1384-nucleotide long non-coding RNA. RefSeq lists it as uncharacterized. NCBI's taxonomy places the organism in Eukaryota, Metazoa, Chordata, Aves, Galliformes, Phasianidae. The record is from RefSeq and is a predicted model, not a curated record.